CAUUAUGCUUUUUUAUUUAUGAAUCCAGAUGUAUUUCUAUUUAUUUAUUUUAUUUAUUAUUAAUUUUAUAUCCUGCCCUUCCUCCUAGAGGGAGCAAACAACAGUGACAAAACACCAAAAACAUCUGUAGAAAACAUCUUAAAAACAAAACAUCUUAAAACAUUUUGAAAACAAUUACAGUCUGGGAUAAUGUCUCCACUUAAAAGGCUUGUGGAAACAGGAAGGCUUUCAAUAGUCACUGAAAAGAUAAUAUUAGUGCCUGUCUAAUAUUUAAGGGGAGGGAAUUCCAAAGGGUAGGUGCCACUGCACUAAAGGCCUGCUUUCUGUGCUGUGCAGAACAGACAUCCUGAUGAGAUGUUAUCUGCUGGAGGCCUUUCCCUGCAAAGUACAGAGACUGACUGUGUAUAUAAGGGGUGAGAUGAUCUUUCAAGUAUAUUGGUCCUAAGCUGUAUAAGAUUUUACACACCAAAACCAGCACCUUGAAGUUAGCCCUGUACCUACUUGGCAGCCUGUGCAAUUCUUUCAGCAGCGGGGUAACGUGUUGGUGAUAACUUGCACAUUGAAGUAAUCCAGCAUGGAGGUUACCAGAGCAUGAAUGAGAAUGAUCAGGCUAUCCCAGUCCAGAAACAUCCCCAGUCUAUAAACCUUCUCUUUCAGGGGGAAUGCAAUCCUAUCCAAAGCAGGCAACUGACCUGGCUGGACGAGGCCUCGGCUCCUAUACUUGAGGCCAUGUGUCCAGCGGGUUUCCGAUAUGCACAGUAGCCGAGGAUUGGUAGGCGGGGAGGGGGUGUGGCAGUUAUUUAUCGGGAGUCCUUGGUUUUUGCCAGACCUCCUCUCCACGAGACCAAGUUUGUUGAUUGUAUGUACUGGAGGUUGGUACCAAAGGGCAGUUUAGGAAUUCUGCUGAUGUACCACCCACCCCGCUGCACGGCAGACUCCCUGGCCGAGGUGCUCGAGGUGGUCGCGGCUGUACGGUUGUUUACCCCGAACUUAUUGGUUUUGGGGGAUUUCAACGUGCAUGCCGAGGCCAUUCUCACUGGAGCCCCUCGGGUUUUCAUUGAAACCAUGACUUCAUGGGAACUGCACCUAAGUAAUAUGGGUCCCACCCAUGUAGCCGGCCAUACCAUUGACCUUGUAUUUGUCGCGGGAGAGAAGGAAAGUGAUCUGAAGAUGGGGACUGUUUCUUCUAGCCCUGUGUCAUGGUCAGAUCACUACCUGGUGAAAUUGGAUCUCUCUGUGCCGCACACCCUCCGCAGGGGACAAGGACCUAUUAGGAUGGUCCGCCCCAGAUGCAUGAUGGAGCCUAUUGGAUUCCUAAAUGCGCUGGGUGAUCUGGAGCUAACUGAAGGCCACCCGGUCGAAGCCCUGGUGAUGGAGUGGAAUAGGGAGAUCACUAGGGCAAUAGACCGGGUGGCACCGAAACGUCCUCUUCUCCUGAAUAGAACUCAGACUGCACCCUGGUAUACACCACGGUUACGCAGUCUGAGGCAGGAAGUGAGACAACUAGAGCGCCGAUGGCGGAAAUCGUGCACUGAAGGUGAUCGGACACUGGUUAGAGCGGCAAUAGCGGCCUACCAGUGGGCAACAAAGGCAGCAAAGAGGCAAUUCUUUGCUGCCUCUAUUGCAUCGGCAGAGUGCUGUCCCAGGAGGUUGUUCCAAGUGGUCCGAAGCCUGGUCGGUCCAGUAGCGCAGGAACCUAUGGAACAAUCAAAAGCCUCCUGUGACACAUUUGUUAAACACUUUGCCGAUAAAAUCGAGCACCUAAAGGACAAGAUUCCGUACGUCGUGGUUACAAGUAGGGGUCCAGAGGCGGCCAGUUGCAAUCCGGUCUGCUGGGAUCGGUUUCAGCCUCUUCUCUCUGAUGAAGUGGACAAGGUGCUCUCUACUGUAAAACCAACCACUUGCUUACUUGAUCCUUGCCCUUCAUGGCUCGUUAUGAGCUGUAAAGAGAGACUGGGCAAUGGGAUCAAGGCAAUCGUAAAUGCAUCCUUGGAGGAGGGUGUAAUGCCAUUGCCCCUCAAGGAGGCAGUGAUAAGACCUAUUCUGAAAAAGCCCUCCUUGGAUCCCCAAGAUUUAAACAACUUUCGCCCAGUCUCCAAUUUACCGUUCUUGGGCAAGGUAAUUGAGCGUGUGGUGGCAAAGCAGCUACAGACACACUUGGAGGAAGCAGAUUAUUUAGAUCCUUUCCAGUCGGGCUUCAGGACUGGACACGGAACUGAAACAGCCUUGGUCGCUCUGGUGGAUGAUAUGAGGAGGGCGUUGGAUAGGGGAGAACAUACCUUCCUCGUCCUCCUGGACCUCUCAGCGGCUUUCGAUACCGUCGACCACGGUAUCCUGUUGAGUCGCCUGGAGGGACUGGGAAUAGGAGGCACUGUUUUACAGUGGUUCCGUUCCUAUCUCUCCGGUAGAUAUCAACGGGUAGUGUUGGGGGAUGAGGUUUCAGACCCUUGGCCCCUCAACUGUGGUGUGCCACAGGGUUCUAUCCUCUCUCCCAUGCUAUUUAACAUUUAUAUGAAACCGCUGGGAGCCAUCAUCAGGAGUUUUGGGCUGCAGUGUCACCAAUAUGCAGAUGACACGCAGCUCUAUCUCUCAUUUAAAUCUUCACCAGAGUUGGCUGUGGAUACCUUGUCCAAGUGCCUGGAGUCCGUAAGUGGAUGGAUGGGAGAGAACAGGCUGAGGCUGAACCCCGAUAAGACUGAGGUAUUACUAGUGGGGGACAAGGGAAGGUUGGGUGAUUUUGACCUGAUACUUAAUGGGGUGAGUUUGCCCCUGAAGGACCAGAUCCGCAGUCUCGGGGUCAUCUUGGACUCCCAGCUGUCUAUGGAGGCUCAGGUUUCUGCAGUGAGCCGGGCAGCUUGGUACCAACUUCAUCUAGUACAGAGGCUGCGACCCUAUCUUCCCAUACAUCUGCUCCCACGAGUGAUACAUGCCCUGAUCUCCUCUCGAUUGGACUACUGUAAUGCGCUCUAUGUGGGGUUACCCUUGAAGACGGUCUGGAAACUCCAGCUGGUACAAAACGCGGCGGCACGCUUAAUAAAGCAGACCCGCCGCCGCGAUCAUAUCACCCCAGUGUUGAUUGAAUUACACUGGUUGCCAGUUGUAUACCGGGCCCAAUUCAAGGUGUUGGUUUUAACCUUUAAAACUCUAUGCGGUUCCGGCCCAGUUUAUCUGAAGGAGCGCCUCCAGUAUCACCAAAUAUGCCGCCAAACAAGAUCAGCCUCACAGGACCUUCUCUCGGUCCCACCGACUAAGACAGCUAGGUUGGUGCGGACCAGGGAGAGGGCUUUUUCGAUCAUGGCCCCCACCCUCUGGAACUUACUUCCCUUUGACCUUCGGCAUGCCCCCUCCCUGUUGACUUUUCGCCGAGCCUUGAAGACCUGGCUCUUCAGGCAGGCCUAUGGGAUCUCUGGGGUGGGUUAGGUUUUACACUGUAUUAAUGUAAGAUGGUCUUCAGAUGAGAUGUUAUGAUAUUAAUAAUGUGAUGAUUAUGUAUAUGAGCAGAUUGUAUUUUAUAUUGUAUUUUAUAUUGUACGUUGCCCAGAGUGUCCGUUCAGUCGGACAGAUGGGCAUCUGCUAAAUAAAAUUUUAUUAUUUAUUAUUUAUUAUUUUCUAGAUUCAGGAUCCACCAACGCACAGCACCUCUGUCUUGCUAGGAUUCAGAGUCAGAUUAUUGGCCUUCAUCCAGUCCACCACUGAGUCCAGGCACUAGUCCAGGACUUGCAUGGCCUUUCCUGAUCCAGAUGUUACCAAGUAAUAGAGCUGGGUAUCAUCAGCAUACUGAUGACACCUUGCCCCAAAUCACAUAAUGACCACUCCCAAUGGCUUCCUAUAGAUAUUUAAUAGCAUUGCCAACAAGUUGGUACCUUCUGGCACCCCACAGCAUACUGCCAGGAGGCUGAAAAACAAUAAUCCAAUGCUAUGCUCUGAAAAUGACCCUGGGGAUAGGAUCUGGACCACUGUAAAACAGUGCCUCUGAUAUUCAUCUCACCAAGUCGGCUCAGAAGGAUACCAUGGUUAAUGGUAUCAAAAGCCGCUGAGAGAUCAAGUAAUAAUAACAGGGUUGCACUCCCCCUUCCUUCUCCUUAUAAAGGUCGUCCAUCAGGGCAACCAAGGCUGAUUUAAUUUCAUUAUUAGGACUGAACCCAGAUCAAGAUGGGUCAAGAUAAUCUGCUUCAUCCAAGAGUAUCUGCAAUUGUUGCACCACAGUCCUCUUGAUCACCAUCCCUAAAAAGGCAGUAUUUGAGACAAGGCGGUAGUUGUCACAAACUGAUGGAUCCAAGCUUUACUCAGGUGGACAAGGAGGCAUGAGUGGACAAGAAGAAGAAGAAGCAGUCUCCAGGAGGG
This is an RNA transcript of Rhineura floridana, 4344 nucleotides long. It is a transcript of the gene named tripartite motif containing 44, with no coding region annotated. Lineage: Eukaryota; Metazoa; Chordata; Lepidosauria; Squamata; Rhineuridae. The transcript has 2 exons. The record is from RefSeq and is a predicted model, not a curated record.